CUGCCUGGCAAAUGAAGCCAAACUCAGAAGGUCAAGUUCGUAUGCUUUCUCUCAUAUGCAGAAGCUAAAGAGGAAAAAGGGAAAGAAAGGUGGGGGAAGAGCUCCCGAAAAUCAAAGAGAGAUCAGUAGAGGAAAGGGGUGAGAGGUGGGGAAAUACUGGGAGUGAUAGUGGCCAAAUUAUGUUGUUAUAUUGUGUGCAUAUAUGAAUAUGGAACAAAUCCCAUCAUUAUGUACAACUGUAUUGCCCCAGUUUAAAAAUGUGGGGGAAAAAAGAAGAAAUGUUUAGCUAAAAAAAAAAAAAGAAAGAAAGAGAAAGGAAAGAAAAAAGAAUGCUUGGUAAGGCACUAAAGGAAAAGGGAAAAAAUCUCCCUAAAAGACUUUCGAUUUUAUUUUUUGCACUAGUUAGAAAAGUGUUUGAAAAGCAAAUUGAAGUUUGAACUUAAAAAAAGAAAGGAAAAAGCAUUGUGGGUGGAACAUGUUAAGAAAUGCAAUAAUCAUAGUUGUUUCAUAAGCCCUUGGAACUAAUAUUAAGUACCACCAGAAUCUAAUUAUCUCUAAAUAUAGAAAUAUCAUAUUUACAAGGUAGUCAAAGAAUGCCACUUUCUAUUCCCAAACUUCCCACCAACUCUCUUCAUAAAUGUACAU
Molecule: long non-coding RNA, 645 nt
Filed under: Marmota monax (woodchuck)
Lineage: Eukaryota; Metazoa; Chordata; Mammalia; Rodentia; Sciuridae
Source: RNAcentral